AAGUGUUACAGCUCUUUUAUAAUUUGUUUAGCAGGCUUUCUGGUCUUUACCGGAAAGCCUCU
Molecule: small nuclear RNA, 62 nt
Filed under: Piliocolobus tephrosceles (Ugandan red Colobus)
Lineage: Eukaryota; Metazoa; Chordata; Mammalia; Primates; Cercopithecidae
Description: U7 small nuclear RNA (ENSPTEG00000023888.1)
Rfam family: U7 small nuclear RNA
About the family: Animal histone pre-mRNAs are spliced by a different mechanism than nuclear pre-mRNAs and self-splicing introns. This processing involves the U7 snRNP, which contains only one RNA species: U7.
Source: Rfam by way of RNAcentral